Molecule: non-coding RNA, 27 nt
Filed under: Homo sapiens (human)
Lineage: Eukaryota; Metazoa; Chordata; Mammalia; Primates; Hominidae
Source: RNAcentral
CAUCACACCCGAGUCAAGAAAGUGCCA